Molecule: ribosomal RNA, 517 nt
Filed under: uncultured bacterium
Lineage: Bacteria
Description: bacterial SSU rRNA
Rfam family: Bacterial small subunit ribosomal RNA
Source: RNAcentral
AACACAUGCAGUACGAACGAGAACGGAUUUAGUUAACUAAAAAUNGUCAGCUAAGUGGCGCACGGGUGAGUAAUAUAUAGUUAACCUGCCCCAAAGAAGAGAAUAAUUGAUGGAAACGUCUGGUAACUCUCUAUAUGCCUUUAAUUACAUAAGUAAGCAAGGGAAACAUUUAUGGCUUUGGGAUGGGACUGUACAGUAUCAGAUAGUUGGUGGGGUAAUGGCUCACCAAGUCAAUGACGCUUAACUGGUUUGAGAGGAUGAUCAGUCACACUGGAACUGAGACACGGUCCAGACUCCUACGGGAGGCAGCAGUGGGGAAUAUUGCACAAUGGAGGAAACUCUGAUGCAGCAACGCCGCGUGGAGGAUGACACAUUUCGGUGCGUAAACUCCUUUUAUAUAAGAAGAUAAUGACGGUAUUAUAUGAAUAAGCACCGGCUAACUCCGUGCCAGCAGCCGCGGUAAUACGGGGGGUGCAAGCGUUACUCGGAAUCACUGGGCGUAAAGAGCAUGUAUGCU